RNAcentral lists this ribosomal RNA (440 nucleotides) under uncultured bacterium. Its description in RNAcentral is "partial 16S ribosomal RNA". It matches the Rfam family "Bacterial small subunit ribosomal RNA", at positions 338 to 795 of the family's 1533-position model. The record is from RNAcentral.
CCUAGGGGUGGCAGCAGUGGGGAAUAUUGCGCAAUGGGGGCAACCCUGACGCAGCAACGCCGCGUGAUUGAAGAAGGCCUUCGGGUUGUAAAGAUCUUUAAUCGGGGACGAAUUUUGACGGUACCCGAAGAAUAAGCUCCGGCUAGCUACGUGCCAGCAGCCGCGGUAAUACGUAGGGAGCAAGCGUUAUCCGGAUUUACUGGGUGUAAAGGGCGUGUAGGCGGGCAUGCAAGCCAGAAGUGAAAUCUGGGGGCUUAACCCCAAACUGCUUUUGGAACUGCGUGUCUUGAGUGAUGGAGAGGCAGGCGGAAUUCCCAGUGUAGCGGUGAAAUGCGUAGAUAUUGGGAGGAACCCCGAUUGCGAAGGCAGCUUACUAAACUGUGACUGACAUUGAUGCUCGAAAGUGUGGGUAUCAAACAGGAUUAGAUACCCUUGUAGUC